Molecule: ribosomal RNA, 1041 nt
Filed under: Candidatus Fermentibacterota bacterium
Lineage: Bacteria; Pseudomonadati; Candidatus Fermentibacterota
Description: bacterial SSU rRNA
Rfam family: Bacterial small subunit ribosomal RNA
Source: RNAcentral
UUAUGGAGAGUUUGAUCCUGGCUCAGGACGAACGCUGGCGGCGUGGAUAAGGCAUGCAAGUCGAACGAGAACGGGCAACUAAUCUAAUUAGUAGCCCUAGUAAAGUGGCGAACGGGUGAGUAACGCGUGGAUAACAUGCCCUCAGGUGGGGGAUAACACAGGGAAACUUGUGCUAAUACCGCAUACGUCGUAGUGACCAUGUCACUUCGAUAAAAGGUAGGGAUCCCUUCGGGGACCUAGCGCCAGAGGAUUGGUCCGCGUCCCAUUAGCUAGUUGGUGGGGUAUAGGCCCACCAAGGCGACGAUGGGUAGCCGGCCUGAGAGGGUGACCGGCCACACUGGGAUUGAGAUACGGCCCAGACUCCUUCGGGAGGCAGCAGUCGAGAAUCUUCGCGAUUUGGCGCAAGCCAGAGCGAGUGACGCCGCGUGUGGGAAGAAGGCCUUAUGGGUUGUAAACCACUGUCAGGAGGGAAGAAUAGCGGGUGGUCCAAUAGGCCAUGCGUGUGACGUUACCUCCAGAGGAAGCUCCGGCUAACUCCGUGCCAGCAGCCGCGGUAAUACGGGGGGAGCAAGCGUUGUCCGGAAUCAUUGGGCGUGAAGGGCAUGUAGGCGGCCGGGUCAGUCGAAUGUGAAAUACCACGGCUCAACUGUGGAACUGCGUUCGAAACUGCCCGGCUUGAGUACGGGAGAGGUAUGCGGAAUUCCUGGUGUAGCGGUGGAAUGCGUAGAUAUCAGGAAGAACACCGGUGGCGAAGGCGGCAUACUGGCCCGAUACUGACGCUGAGGUGCGAAAGCGUGGGGAGCAAACGGGAUUAGAUACCCCGGUAGUCCACGCCGUAAACGAUGUCUACUAGGUUGUGGGAGUUCUGACACUCUCGCAGCCGAAGCAAAAGUGUUUAGUAGACCGCCUGGGGAGUACGGUCGCAAGGCUAAAACUCAAAGGAAUUGACGGGGGCUCACACAAGCGGUGGAGCAUGUGGUUUAAUUCGAUGCAACGCGAAGAACCUUACCUGGGCUUGACAUCCAGAGGGCAGGUGUAGAG